GGCUGCCAGGGACAGAGAGGCUUCCGGGAUAGUUCUUCCGGUCAAGUUCCGGGCAGACCGGCGCGUGGUGGUCACCCUACCGAUUACCCGGAUUCUCCCCUCAUUCUAGCAUCUGGGUCCUCUGCACACUGAUGAGAAUUCCCUGUUUGCUAACACCCACCCCCCAUCCCCAUCUCGCCUUCCCCAAGCGGCUAGCACCUGAAGCCUGAGCACACUGCAUAUAGCACACCUGCCUAGGAAGAGUGAAUGUGGAGGGCCCUGAAGGGGAGAGGAAGAAUUCUCCCUCUCCUGCACCACGUUAAAGUGCAAAUGAAAGAUCCCCGAGCAAAGCUGUGGCGCAUCAGGACAGAAUACCAGAGUGAGUGCAAGUGGAGGCCGCUGGGCACAGCAGGCAGGUGAGCACAGAGGAGGGAAGAGAAGUCCUGGGGCACCAGGGGGGUGGACUUC
Molecule: long non-coding RNA, 447 nt
Filed under: Felis catus (domestic cat)
Lineage: Eukaryota; Metazoa; Chordata; Mammalia; Carnivora; Felidae
Description: lncRNA (ENSFCAG00000051083.1)
Source: RNAcentral